GCACGGAUAGCUCAGCGGUAGAGCGCCUGUCUUACACACAGGUGGCCGGGGGUUCGAAUCCCUCUCCGUGCA
This 72-nucleotide transfer RNA is filed under the name Verrucomicrobiales bacterium. RNAcentral's name for it is "tRNA-Val". It matches the Rfam family "tRNA". Rfam says of the family: Transfer RNA (tRNA) molecules are approximately 80 nucleotides in length. Their secondary structure includes four short double-helical elements and three loops (D, anti-codon, and T loops). Lineage: Bacteria; Pseudomonadati; Verrucomicrobiota; Verrucomicrobiia; Verrucomicrobiales. The record is from RNAcentral.